RNAcentral lists this ribosomal RNA (696 nucleotides) under uncultured delta proteobacterium. Its description in RNAcentral is "bacterial SSU rRNA". It matches the Rfam family "Bacterial small subunit ribosomal RNA", at positions 164 to 872 of the family's 1533-position model. The record is from RNAcentral. Lineage: Bacteria; Deltaproteobacteria.
UAAUACUUCAUAAGACCACAGUGACUAAUGUCACAGAGGUAAAAGUAGUAAUACGCUUGAGGAUGAGUCUGCGUCAGAUUAGCUAGUUGGUGAGGUAAUGGCUCACCAAGGCUUCGAUCUGUAGCUGGUCUGAGAGGAUGAUCAGCCUCACUGGAACUGACACACGGUCCAGACUCCUACGGGAGGCAGCAGUAGGGAAUAUUGCACAACGGAGGAAACUCUGAUGCAGCGACGCCGCGUGAGUGAUGAAGGACUUCGGUUUGUAAAGCUCUGUUGUCAGGGAAUAAAAAAAUGAAUGUACCUGACGAGAAAGGACCGGCUAACUUCGUGCCAGCAGCCGCGGUAAUACGAAGGGUCCAAGCGUUGCUCGGAAUCAUUGGGCGUAAAGCGAGUGCGGGUGGCUCUCUAAGUCAGGAGUGAAAGCCCAGGGCUCAACCCUGGAAGUGCUUUUGAUACUGGAGAGCUUGAAUGUGGGAGAGGGUGCUAGAAUACCUAGUGUAGUGGUGAAAUACGUAGAUAUUAGGUGGAACACCGGUGGCGAAGGCGGGCACCUGGCCCAACAUUGACACUUAGACUCGAAAGCGUGGGGAUCAAACAGGAUUAGAUACCCUGGUAGUCCACGCUGUAAACGAUGGAUACUUGGUGUUGGAGGUAUUGACCCCUUCAGUGCCGAAGCUAACGCGUUAAGUAUCCCGC